GAAGAUUUAGUUAAAAUUUUAUAACAUUAGAAUGUCAAACUAAAAUUAUUCUCAAAUAAUCUUUU
This 65-nucleotide transfer RNA is filed under the name Hemicaecilius mockfordi. RNAcentral's name for it is "tRNA-Asp". The record is from RNAcentral. Lineage: Eukaryota; Metazoa; Arthropoda; Insecta; Psocodea; Sphaeropsocidae.